This is an RNA transcript of Zea mays, 269 nucleotides long. RefSeq lists it as uncharacterized. The record is from RefSeq and is marked validated. NCBI's taxonomy places the organism in Eukaryota, Viridiplantae, Streptophyta, Magnoliopsida, Poales, Poaceae. The transcript has 2 exons.
AUAAGGUGUUCAAGGACCCUGAGUCCCUGACAAUCGACAAAUUUUCUUGAGUGCGUGCAGUGAUGAUAGAGAGGUUGUAUUGAUGUGGUUGAGGGAUGAGAUGACUAAGCAGGUCUCUAUGGAGCUGAAGUGUUAUGUAUUGGCAACGUGACUGGUACUUGACAAUACUCUAGAUUAACCGAACAACAGUUUGAGCCAGGGAUUAUAGCCAAAAGGGAUUAUACCCCCAAGGGGUUCAAGUGACAAAGAGGGGAUUAACUCAAUCCCUC